Molecule: ribosomal RNA, 253 nt
Filed under: uncultured bacterium
Lineage: Bacteria
Description: partial 16S ribosomal RNA
Rfam family: Bacterial small subunit ribosomal RNA
Source: RNAcentral
UACGGAGGGGGCUAGCGUUGUUCGGAAUUACUGGGCGUAAAGCGCACGCAGGCGGUUCGCCAAGUUUGGAGUGACAGUUGUCGGCUCAACCGACAAAGGACUUCAAAAACUGGUGAACUUGAGGACGAGAGAGGAACAUGGAACUCCAGGUGUAGUAGUGAAAUGCGUAGAUAUCUGGAAGAACACCAAUGGCGAAGGCAAUGUUCUGGCUCGUUUCUGACGCUCAGGUGCGAAAGCCAGGGGAGCGAACGGG